GACGAACGCUGGCGGCGUGCUUAACACAUGCAAGUCGAACGGUAAGGCCCUGCUUUUGUGGGGUGCUCGAGUGGCGAACGGGUGAGUAACACGUGAGUAACCUGCCCCUGACUUUGGGAUAACUUCAGGAAACUGGGGCUAAUACCGGAUAGGAGCUCCUGCUGCAUGGUGGGGGUUUGAAAGUUUCGGCGGUUGGGGAUGGACUCGCGGCUUAUCAGCUUGUUGGUGGGGUAGUGGCUUACCAAGGCUUUGACGGGUAGCCGGCCUGAGAGGGUGACCGGCCACAUUGGGACUGAGAUACGGCCCAGACUCCUACGGGAGGCAGCAGUGGGGAAUAUUGCACAAUGGGCGGAAGCCUGAUGCAGCAACGCCGCGUGCGGGAUGACGGCCUUCGGGUUGUAAACCGCUUUCGCCAGUGAAGAAGCGAGAGUGACGGUAAUGGGUAAAGAAGCACCGGCUAACUACGUG
Molecule: ribosomal RNA, 468 nt
Filed under: uncultured bacterium
Lineage: Bacteria
Description: partial 16S ribosomal RNA
Rfam family: Bacterial small subunit ribosomal RNA
Source: RNAcentral